RNAcentral lists this ribosomal RNA (2217 nucleotides) under Klebsiella pneumoniae. RNAcentral describes it as "bacterial LSU rRNA". It matches the Rfam family "Bacterial large subunit ribosomal RNA", at positions 1 to 2236 of the family's 2925-position model. Lineage: Bacteria; Pseudomonadati; Pseudomonadota; Gammaproteobacteria; Enterobacterales; Enterobacteriaceae. The record is from RNAcentral.
GGGUUGUGAGGUUAAGCGACUAAGCGUACACGGUGGAUGCCCUGGCAGUCAGAGGCGAUGAAGGACGUGCUAAUCUGCGAAAAGCGUCGGUAAGGUGAUAUGAACCGUUAUAACCGGCGAUGUCCGAAUGGGGAAACCCAGUGCAAUUCGUUGCACUAUCGUUAACUGAAUACAUAGGUUAACGAGGCGAACCGGGGGAACUGAAACAUCUAAGUACCCCGAGGAAAAGAAAUCAACCGAGAUUCCCCCAGUAGCGGCGAGCGAACGGGGAGCAGCCCAGAGUCUGAAUCAGCUUGUGUGUUAGUGGAACGGUCUGGAAAGUCCGACGGUACAGGGUGAUAGUCCCGUACACCAAAAUGCACAGGCUGUGAACUCGAAGAGUAGGGCGGGACACGUGGUAUCCUGUCUGAAUAUGGGGGGACCAUCCUCCAAGGCUAAAUACUCCUGACUGACCGAUAGUGAACCAGUACCGUGAGGGAAAGGCGAAAAGAACCCCGGCGAGGGGAGUGAAAAAGAACCUGAAACCGUGUACGUACAAGCAGUGGGAGCACCUUCGGGUGUGACUGCGUACCUUUUGUAUAAUGGGUCAGCGACUUAUAUUCUGUAGCAAGGUUAACCGUAUAGGGGAGCCGCAGGGAAACCGAGUCUUAACUGGGCGUUAAGUUGCAGGGUAUAGACCCGAAACCCGGUGAUCUAGCCAUGGGCAGGUUGAAGGUUGGGUAACACUAACUGGAGGACCGAACCGACUAAUGUUGAAAAAUUAGCGGAUGACUUGUGGCUGGGGGUGAAAGGCCAAUCAAACCGGGAGAUAGCUGGUUCUCCCCGAAAGCUAUUUAGGUAGCGCCUCGUGAACUCAUCUUCGGGGGUAGAGCACUGUUUCGGCUAGGGGGUCAUCCCGACUUACCAACCCGAUGCAAACUACGAAUACCGAAGAAUGUUAUCACGGGAGACACACGGCGGGUGCUAACGUCCGUCGUGAAGAGGGAAACAACCCAGACCGCCAGCUAAGGUCCCAAAGUCAUGGUUAAGUGGGAAACGAUGUGGGAAGGCACAGACAGCCAGGAUGUUGGCUUAGAAGCAGCCAUCAUUUAAAGAAAGCGUAAUAGCUCACUGGUCGAGUCGGCCUGCGCGGAAGAUGUAACGGGGCUAAACCAUGCACCGAAGCUGCGGCAGCGACACUAUGUGUUGUUGGGUAGGGGAGCGUUCUGUAAGCCUGCGAAGGUGACCUGUGAGGGUUGCUGGAGGUAUCAGAAGUGCGAAUGCUGACAUAAGUAACGAUAAAGCGGGUGAAAAGCCCGCUCGCCGGAAGACCAAGGGUUCCUGUCCAACGUUAAUCGGGGCAGGGUGAGUCGACCCCUAAGGCGAGGCCGAAAGGCGUAGUCGAUGGGAAACAGGUUAAUAUUCCUGUACUUGGUGUUACUGCGAAGGGGGGACGGAGAAGGCUAUGUUAGCCGGGCGACGGUUGUCCCGGUUUAAGCAUGUAGGCUGAUUGUCCAGGCAAAUCCGGAUAAUCAAGGCUGAGGUGUGAUGACGAGGCACUACGGUGCUGAAGUAACAAAUGCCCUGCUUCCAGGAAAAGCCUCUAAGCAUCAGGUAACAUCAAAUCGUACCCCAAACCGACACAGGUGGUCAGGUAGAGAAUACCAAGGCGCUUGAGAGAACUCGGGUGAAGGAACUAGGCAAAAUGGUGCCGUAACUUCGGGAGAAGGCACGCUGGUGUGUAGGUGAAGUCCCUGCGGAUGGAGCUGAGACCAGUCGAAGAUACCAGCUGGCUGCAACUGUUUAUUAAAAACACAGCACUGUGCAAACACGAAAGUGGACGUAUACGGUGUGACGCCUGCCCGGUGCCGGAAGGUUAAUUGAUGGGGUUAUCCGUAAGGAGAAGCUCUUGAUCGAAGCCCCGGUAAACGGCGGCCGUAACUAUAACGGUCCUAAGGUAGCGAAAUUCCUUGUCGGGUAAGUUCCGACCUGCACGAAUGGCGUAAUGAUGGCCAGGCUGUCUCCACCCGAGACUCAGUGAAAUUGAACUCGCUGUGAAGAUGCAGUGUACCCGCGGCAAGACGGAAAGACCCCGUGAACCUUUACUAUAGCUUGACACUGAACAUUGAGCCUUGAUGUGUAGGAUAGGUGGGAGGCUUUGAAGCGUGGACGCCAGUCUGCGUGGAGCCAACCUUGAAAUACCACCCUUUAAUGUUUGAUGUUCUAACGUUGGCCCCU